UCCUCGGUAGCUCAAUGGUAGAGCACGCGGCUGUUAACCGCGCUGUUGUAGGUUCGAGUCCUACCCGGGGAGCCA
RNAcentral lists this transfer RNA (75 nucleotides) under Collinsella aerofaciens. RNAcentral's name for it is "tRNA-Asn(gtt)". It matches the Rfam family "tRNA". From Rfam's summary of the family: Transfer RNA (tRNA) molecules are approximately 80 nucleotides in length. The record is from RNAcentral. RNAcentral also lists the same sequence under 173 other names. Lineage: Bacteria; Bacillati; Actinomycetota; Coriobacteriia; Coriobacteriales; Coriobacteriaceae.